This 493-nucleotide ribosomal RNA is filed under the name uncultured bacterium. RNAcentral's name for it is "partial 16S ribosomal RNA". It matches the Rfam family "Bacterial small subunit ribosomal RNA", at positions 28 to 507 of the family's 1533-position model. The record is from RNAcentral.
GACGAACGCUGGCGGCGUGCUUAACACAUGCAAGUCGAACGGUGAAGCGCCUUCCUUUUGGGUGGGGUGGGUGGGGGGGGGACGGGUGAGUAACAAGGUAGUUACCCUCCCCCCUCUUCUGGAUAAACCCAUGAAAGGUUGGGCUAAAAGGGAUAUUCCGGGUUCGUUGCAUGAUUGGGUUGGGGAAGGUAUUGGUUCGGGGGGGGAUGGGCUGGGGGCCUAUCAGCUUGUUUGUGGGGGGAUGGCCUACCAAGGCGGUGACGGGUAGCCGGCCUGAGAGGGUGGACGGUCACACUGGGACUGAGACACGGCCCAGACUCCUACGGGAGGCAGCAGUGGGGAAUAUUGCACAAUGGGCGCAAGCCUGAUGCAGCGACGCCGCGUGAGGGAUGGAGGCCUUCGGGUUGUGAACCUCUUUCGCCAGUGAAGCAGGCCUGCCUCGUUUGUGGGUGGGUUGACGGUAGCUGGAGAAGAAGCGCCGGCUAACUACGUG